CCCCACAUGAUAUUUCCU
RNAcentral lists this small nuclear RNA (18 nucleotides) under Arabidopsis thaliana (thale cress). RNAcentral describes it as "snRNA_08241". Lineage: Eukaryota; Viridiplantae; Streptophyta; Magnoliopsida; Brassicales; Brassicaceae. The record is from RNAcentral.